This 253-nucleotide ribosomal RNA is filed under the name uncultured bacterium. RNAcentral describes it as "partial 16S ribosomal RNA". It matches the Rfam family "Bacterial small subunit ribosomal RNA", at positions 524 to 776 of the family's 1533-position model. The record is from RNAcentral.
AACGUAGGGGGCGAGCGUUGCCCGGAUUCACUGGGCGUAAAGCGGGUGUAGGCGGUCCGCUAAGUCGGGUGUGAAAUCUCCGAGCUCAACUCGGAAACUGCAUCCGAUACUGUCGGACUUGAGGACGGUAGAGGUCGGUGGAAUGCCGAGUGUACCGGUGAAAUGGACAGAUAUUCAGCGGAACACCAGUGGCGAAGGCGGCCGACUGGGCCGUUCCUGACGCUGAGACCCGAAAGCCAGGGUAGCGAACCGG